GAUGAACGCCGGCGGUGUGCCUAAUACAUGCAAGUCGAACGCGUUGGCCUAAUUGAUUGAUGGUGCUUGCACCUGAUUGAUUUUGGUCGCCAACGAGUGGCGGACGGGUGAGUAACACGUAGGUAACCUGCCCAGAAGCGGGGGACAACAUUUGGAAACAGAUGCUAAUACCGCAUAACAGCGUUGUUCGCAUGAACAACGCUUAAAAGAUGGCUUCUCGCUAUCACUUCUGGAUGGACCUGCGGUGCAUUAGCUUGUUGGUGGGGUAACGGCCUACCAAGGCGAUGAUGCAUAGCCGAGUUGAGAGACUGAUCGGCCACAAUGGGACUGAGACACGGCCCAUACUCCUACGGGAGGCAGCAGUAGGGAAUCUUCCACAAUGGGCGCAAGCCUGAUGGAGCAACACCGCGUGAGUGAAGAAGGGUUUCGGCUCGUAAAGCUCUGUUGUUAAAGAAGAACACGUAUGAGAGUAACUGUUCAUACGUUGACGGUAUUUAACCAGAAAGUCACGGCUAACUACGUG
Molecule: ribosomal RNA, 523 nt
Filed under: uncultured bacterium
Lineage: Bacteria
Description: partial 16S ribosomal RNA
Rfam family: Bacterial small subunit ribosomal RNA
Source: RNAcentral